GUCUAUAGACACACCACCUGAAUCCAACUGAUCUCAUCUGAUCUCAGAAGCUAAGCAGGAUCAGGCCUGGCCGAUACAGAGA
Molecule: ribosomal RNA, 82 nt
Filed under: Nannospalax galili (Upper Galilee mountains blind mole rat)
Lineage: Eukaryota; Metazoa; Chordata; Mammalia; Rodentia; Spalacidae
Source: RNAcentral